CGAAAGCCUGACGGAGCAAGACCGCGUGAGGGAGGAAUGCCUUAGGGUUGUAAACCCCUUUUAUCUGGGAAGAACAAAAUGACGGUACCAGAUGAAUAAGCCUCGGCUAACUCCGUGCCAGCAGCCGCGGUAAUACGGAGGAGGCAAGCGUUAUCCGGAAUGAUUGGGCGUAAAGCGUCCGCAGGUGGCAAUGUAAGUCUGCUGUCAAAACCCAGGGCUCAACUCUGGUCAGGCAGUGGAAACUACAUAGCUAGAGUGCCGUAGGGGUAGAGGGAAUUCCCGGUGUAGCGGUGAAAUGCGUAGAGAUCGGGAAGAACAUCGGUGGCGAAAGCGCUCUACUGGGCCGCAACUGACACUCAGGGACGAAAGCUAGGGGAGCG
Molecule: ribosomal RNA, 380 nt
Filed under: uncultured cyanobacterium
Lineage: Bacteria; Bacillati; Cyanobacteriota
Description: bacterial SSU rRNA
Rfam family: Bacterial small subunit ribosomal RNA
Source: RNAcentral